CCUACGGGAGGCAGCAGUGAGGAAUAUUGGUCAAUGGACGAGAGUCUGAACCAGCCAAGUAGCGUGAAGGAUGACUGCCCUAUGAGUUGUAAACUUCUUUUAUAAAGGAAUAAAACGAGGCACGUGUGCCUUUUGCAUGUACUUUAUUAAUAACGAUCGGCUAACUCCGUGCCAGCAGCCGCGGUAAUACGGAGGAUCCGAGCGUUAUCCGGAUUUAUUGGGUUUAAGGGGAGCGUAGAUGGGUUGUUAAGUCAGUUGUGAAAGUUUGCGGCUCAACCGUAAGAUUGCAAUUGAUACUGGCAGUCUUGAGUACAGUAGAGGUAGGCGGAAUUCGGGGUGUAGCGGUGAAAUGCUUAGAUAUCCCGAAGAACACCGAUUGCGAAGGCAGCUUACUAAGCUUUGACUGACAUUGAUGCUCGAAAGUGUGGGUAGCAAACAGGAUUAGAUACCCCAGUAGUC
RNAcentral lists this ribosomal RNA (459 nucleotides) under uncultured bacterium. RNAcentral's name for it is "partial 16S ribosomal RNA". It matches the Rfam family "Bacterial small subunit ribosomal RNA", at positions 338 to 795 of the family's 1533-position model. The record is from RNAcentral.